Molecule: long non-coding RNA, 894 nt
Filed under: Sarcophilus harrisii (Tasmanian devil)
Lineage: Eukaryota; Metazoa; Chordata; Mammalia; Dasyuromorphia; Dasyuridae
Description: lncRNA (ENSSHAG00000021485.1)
Source: RNAcentral
AGCAAUAAAUGAGACUUGCUUCAACCAUAUGCUGUCUCCCUCCUCCUUCCCGCCCAUUUCUCUUUCAGGCUGGUCCCCCUAGGUUCCCCAUGAAUAACUGAGUCCCAGUGGACGGGACAAGUGGCACCCAAUGUGGGGGGCAAGAGGUGAGGACCCUUGCCAGGCGGACCCCGAAGAAUCGUCUGGACCCCGAAGAAAUCACAAGGAUCCCCUUCUGUCCUUGAGCUGGCUCCAGCAAAUCUUUGAGCCUGACCCUGAAGUCUUGCGUGAAAAGUGAGAAAAUGGGGAAAAGUCCUUAAAGCACUAAAGACCAUUAAGCGCCAUGAUGAAUUUAGGUUUUUCAAGAAGCUAUCACAAGAGUGAUUCAGAGAGUAGCUACCUUCAUUUCCCUCUGUAUCAUAUCUUAAGUAAAUGGAUAUUUAAUUAUAAUAGACUGGACUGGAGGAACCAAGGGAAUCCCAGUGAUAGGAAACCAUGGCAGACUGCCACAACCACCAUAAUAACAUUAGUGUUUCUGAAGAAUUUACAGUACAAGCCAAAAGGAAGUCUACCUCCAGAGAAAGCAAGUAGGUAAGCCCUGAAGCCCAGUAAAAGCCAGCAGAAAAACCUGAAGACCCAGCGAAAAAAGCCUGGGAUGGUGCAGGAUGAAAGCCCAGCUCUUAUUAAAAAAACACCAACUCAUGAAAAACAAAUCAGAAAAAAAGAGCAGAGCAUGACUAUAGAUAAAAUUAAAAGAUUUAAAAGAUUAAAACCACUAUAAAACACAGGAAUAUAUGGAGCUUACCUUAAAAUGAUAAAUAAUAUUUAUCUAAAACCCUCUACAGUGGUGAUAAGCUAGAAGCCUUCCCAAUUCAAUCAGGGCAAGUAUCCCUAUUAUCACCUCUAUUAUUUAAU